Molecule: long non-coding RNA, 388 nt
Organism: Ictalurus punctatus (channel catfish)
Lineage: Eukaryota; Metazoa; Chordata; Actinopteri; Siluriformes; Ictaluridae
Source: Ensembl
UGGCUUACCACUCGGGAUUGUGUUCUGGUUCUGUUUCUCCACUUGGGAUUGUGUUCUGGCUUACCACUCAGGAUUGUGAUUGUGUUCUGGUUCUCCACUCAGGAUUGUGUUCUGGUUCUCCACUCAGGAUUGUGUUCUGGUUCUGGUUCUCCACUCAGGAUUGUGUUCUGGUUCUCCACUCAGGAUUGUGUUCUGGUUCUCUUCUGAGGAAUGUGUUCUGGUUCUGGUUCUCCACUCAGGAUUGUGUUCUGGUUCUCCACUCAGGAUUGUGUUCUGGUUCUCCACUCGGGAUUGUGUUCUGGUUCUCUUCUGAGGAAUGUGUUCUGGUUCUGGUUCUCCACUCAGGAUUGUGUUCUGGUUCUCCACUCAGGAUUGUGUUCUGGUUCUC